This 276-nucleotide ribosomal RNA is filed under the name Escherichia coli. RNAcentral's name for it is "partial 23S ribosomal RNA". It matches the Rfam family "Bacterial large subunit ribosomal RNA", at positions 2667 to 2925 of the family's 2925-position model. The record is from RNAcentral. Lineage: Bacteria; Pseudomonadati; Pseudomonadota; Gammaproteobacteria; Enterobacterales; Enterobacteriaceae.
GGGGGCUGCUCCUAGUACGAGAGGACCGGAGUGGACGCAUCACUGGUGUUCGGGUUGUCAUGCCAAUGGCACUGCCCGGUAGCUAAAUGCGGAAGAGAUAAGUGCUGAAAGCAUCUAAGCACGAAACUUGCCCCGAGAUGAGUUCUCCCUGACUCCUUGAGGGUCCUGAAGGAACGUUGAAGACGACGACGUUGAUAGGCCGGGUGUGUAAGCGCAGCGAUGCGUUGAGCUAACCGGUACUAAUGAACCGUGAGGCUUAACCUUACAACACCGAAG